This 675-nucleotide ribosomal RNA is filed under the name Inocybe lacera var. lacera. RNAcentral's name for it is "eukaryotic LSU rRNA". It matches the Rfam family "Eukaryotic large subunit ribosomal RNA", at positions 1 to 653 of the family's 3401-position model. Lineage: Eukaryota; Fungi; Basidiomycota; Agaricomycetes; Agaricales; Inocybaceae. The record is from RNAcentral.
UUGACCUCAAAUCAGGUAGGACUACCCGCUGAACUUAAGCAUAUCAAUAAGCGGAGGAAAAGAAACUAACAAGGAUUCCCCUAGUAACUGCGAGUGAAGCGGGAAAAGCUCAAAUUUGAAAUCUGGCAGUUCUUUUGACUGUCCGAGUUGUAAUCUAGAGAAGUGUUACCUGUGCUGGACCGUGUACAAGUCUUCUGGAAUGGAGCAUCAUAGAGGGUGAGAAUCCCGUCUUUGACAUGGACUACCAGUGUGCUGUGGUGCGCUCUCAAAGAGUCGAGUUGUUUGGGAAUGCAGCUCAAAAUGGGUGGUAAAUGCCAUCUAAAGCUAAAUAUUGGCGAGAGACCGAUAGCGAACAAGUACCGUGAGGGAAAGAUGAAAAGAACUUUGGAAAGAGAGUUAAACAGUACGUGAAAUUGCUGAAAGGGAAACGCUUGAAGUCAGUCACGUUGGCUAGAAAUCAGCCUUGCUUUUGCUUGGUGUACUUUCUGGUUUGACGGGUCAGCAUCGAUUUCUUUGACCAUUGGAUAAAGUCUUUGGGAAUGUGGCAUCUUUUGAUGUGUUAUAGCCCAUUGUCGCAUACAAUGGUUGGGAUCGAGGAACUCAGCACGCCGCAAGGCUGGGCAUAGACCACGCUCGUGCUUAGGAUGCUGGCAUAAUGGCUUUAAUCGACCCGUC